Non-coding RNA from Ameiurus melas (black bullhead), 72 nucleotides. Lineage: Eukaryota; Metazoa; Chordata; Actinopteri; Siluriformes; Ictaluridae. The record is from the annotation of a GenBank genome assembly.
GCCUUGUUAGCGCAGUGGUGUCGCGUCAGUCUCAUAAUCUGAAGGUUGUGAGUUCAAUCCUCACACAGGGCC